RNAcentral lists this ribosomal RNA (497 nucleotides) under uncultured bacterium. RNAcentral's name for it is "partial 16S ribosomal RNA". It matches the Rfam family "Bacterial small subunit ribosomal RNA", at positions 28 to 507 of the family's 1533-position model. The record is from RNAcentral.
GAUGAACGCUGGCGGCGUGCCUAAUACAUGCAAGUCGAGCGAACAGACGAGGAGCUUGCUCCUCUGACGUUAGCGGCGGACGGGUGAGUAACACGUGGAUAACCUACCUAUAAGACUGGGAUAACUUCGGGAAACCGGAGCUAAUACCGGAUAAUAUAUUGAACCGCAUGGUUCAAUAGUUAAAGACGGUUUUGCUGUCACUUAUAGAUGGAUCCGCGCCGCAUUAGCUAGUUGGUAAGGUAACGGCUUACCAAGGCAACGAUGCGUAGCCGACCUGAGAGGGUGAACGGCCACACUGGAACUGAGACACGGUCCAGACUCCGACGGGAGGCAGCAGUAGGGAAUCUUCCGCAAUGGGCGAAAGCCUGACGGAGCAACGCCGCGUGAGUGAUGAAGGUCUUCGGAUCGUAAAACUCUGUUAUUAGGGAAGAACAAAUGUGUAAGUAACUAUGCACGUCUUGACGGUACCUAAUCAGAAAGCCACGGCUAACUACGUG